AUGAACGCUGGCGGCGUGCCUAAUACAUGCAAGUCGAGCGAACGGACGAGAAGCUUGCUUCUCUGAUGUUAGCGGCGGACGGGUGAGUAACACGUGGAUAACCUACCUAUAAGACUGGGAUAACUUCGGGAAACCGUAGCUAAUACCGGAUAAUAUUUUGAACCGCAUGGUUCAAAAGUGAAGGACGGUCUUGCUGUCACUUAUAGAUGGAUCCGCGCUGCAUUAGCUAGUUGGUAAGGUAACGGCUUACCAAGGCAACGAUGCAUAGCCGACCUGAGAGGGUGAUCGGCCACACUGGAACUGAGACACGGUCCAGACUCCUACGGGAGGCAGCAGUAGGGAAUCUUCCGCAAUGGGCGAAAGCCUGACGGAGCAACGCCGCGUGAGUGAUGAAGGUCUUCGGAUCGUAAAACUCUGUUAUUAGGGAAGAACAUAUGUGUAAGUAACUGUGCACAUCUUGACGGUACCUAAUCAGAAAGCCACGGCUAACUACGUG
Molecule: ribosomal RNA, 496 nt
Filed under: uncultured bacterium
Lineage: Bacteria
Description: partial 16S ribosomal RNA
Rfam family: Bacterial small subunit ribosomal RNA
Source: RNAcentral